This 156-nucleotide unclassified non-coding RNA is filed under the name uncultured Mortierella. Its description in RNAcentral is "sequence contains ITS1". The record is from RNAcentral. Lineage: Eukaryota; Fungi; Mortierellomycota; Mortierellomycetes; Mortierellales; Mortierellaceae.
UAAUAAGUGUUUUAUGGCACUUUUUUAAAUCCAUAUCCACCUUGUGUGCAAUGUCAGGGUUGAUUUUUCUCUCGAGAGGAUCAACCCCAAACAUCAACUAUUAUCUUUAACAACAUUCGUCUGAUAACAUAUUAUGAAUAUACUUAAUUCAAAAUA